GCCCUCCCGGGGUGUGUUGCGAAGUGUUUAACUUACCGCGUCGUUGGCUGGACUCAUGCUUCCUAUAAGAAAUAGAGGAAGCCCGUGUAUCCGCUAUAGUUAUACCACGGCUUUGUUAUAGCAAAACUUAAACUUUAGACUGUCGGCCGAAAGUGGUGCUUGUAAGUAAGCAGGCGAGUCUGCGUAGUCAUAGCAAGUGUAAGUCUCGACUCAUGGAUUGCCUUGGGCUUUUAGCCAUUGGGUUGUCGGGCGGGCAUCUUACUUGCAAAAGAAGAUGACCUGUGUAACCACUUCAGGUAUCAUCCCUGGCUCUCGAAGGCAUUUUAGGCGUGAGGUGUAGGGAAAACGGUGCCUCAGAGGCUAUAUCCUUCCGAGUCGCAACUUUGAUUUCGUAGGUUGCUUAACUAGUAUUGUACCACUUUAAAACCAAGUCGCUUCAUGAAGAUUUGCACAUCAAGACAAACCAUCUUGCCACGAGAAUUCUUUUAUAGGCAGAUGUCCUGCAAUUAGCAUCUCUUCCAGUUAGAGACCUGGGAUCCCGCAUAAUUGAAUCCGUCAGUUGGCUAAUUUAUUCCAAGGGAAAGACUAUUGUGGCCAAUUAUGGGAAUCGUCAGGUGCAAGUAGUCGCUGCAUUCAAGGGAAGCUAAGCAGUCGUACAACCCAUCUACGUAUGGAUGUUCCAAAUUAGUUUACCUUCUCGCUUUGGAGAGCUUACCCAGAUAGGUGUCGGGGAAUUAGUUUACCGUCUCGUGCUGGAGAGUUUACCCAGAUGGGUGUCGGGGAAUUAGUUUACACUCUCGCGCUGGAGAGCUUGCCCUGAUGGGUGUUGGGGAAUCAGUGAACCCUCUUGCGCUAGAAAGCUUACCCAGAUGGGUGUUGGGGAAUUAGUUUACACUAUCGCGCUGGAGAGCUUACCCAGAUGGGGCUUUGAGCAGUUGUUGUAGGCAGCAGUUGAGCUAGGUUUGUGAAAAUUGCAUAACAACUAGGAUAAUCCUCGGCCUACGAGGUCUUGUUCGUCGAACUGCUUAAGACUUCAAACUUAUUUGGAUGGGCCUAAACAGAGUUCAGAAGGUCUUAGACUUAAAACUCAUUAUUCUUUGCUUGGUUGCUACUUAGCAGGCGUUUCAUCAUUUAGUUCCAAAUACUAGAACUCAUGCCUGUUUCAUUCAAAGCAUGAUAUUGAUUUGGAUAACACAUGAACAAGAUGGAGUUGUUUAGUGAACCAAGAGCCAAAAAGCCGACCCUCUGUGCAUUGUGUUUAGGCUUUAACCCCGUUGAGCCUCGUUUAGCCUAUGUUCUUUGUUAACCCACAUACUCUCUACCAAGCCUAGAAUAGGACCAUCUAUACCCUUAUUCUUGAAGCAUAGUGGAGCAUAAAUAAGAGGGAAUUCCUUUUGAUCCAAAUGAUGCAGAAAAGCAAGUGUGGGAGAAGGGAUUUUUGUGUGUGUGUGCGUGCCAAAGUCUCAAAAAGGGCAUGGGUAGAAAAGAAAAAGAAAAAUUCGUGAAAAAAAAAAGUUGAAUUCGAACCUAAAUGAUGUGUGAUUCUUCCCCUUGUGUGUCUAAGUUAGUGGCUGCAUUCUAAAUUGAAUUCUAAGUGUCAAUUUCAGUACUUUGCUUGCUAUUGCUUUAAGAAUGGAUUGUUAUCCUUACCCUUCUUUGUUAGCCAAUACCCUUAAGCUCCGUUACAACCCUUUAACUUCAAUCUCGGGUGUUGUGUGUUUCAAUAUGUGGAGUUUGGAAUUGAUAUGAGCGUAUGGUAUCCCUGGUUCUCGCAUCUAAGAGUAGCAUUCCAUUCAUGAGAUCAUAUCUAAAUGCUUAAUAACUCCAGAAAAUGCUUUCUUUGUUAUAAACAUAUGUGAGUGCUAGUUUAGAUGUUUGUAUCAAUCUUCUCACAUAUAAUUAGUGUAGGGUGUGUAGUCAAAAAAUCUAUGUGAAAAUAUAGAGUAUCUUGUAAGGAAUUGAAUGAAUUCUCUAAGGCAUGUUACUACAUUCAAACCAUUGUUUCAAUUGAUUGAUUGUGAGCUAGUAAGUGCCGACUGUGAUUAAGUAUGUGCUCGAGUGUAAGGAUAACUAAAUUUGUGGGAAUAAUGAUUUUUAACAUGUCAUGUGCAUUGGAAAUUCCUGAGGCAAAUGUUGGAAGGAUUAGAGUGUGUUUUGUUUACUUUGUUUUGUUUUGUUUGGUUCGUUUUGCUCGAGGACUAGCAAAAGCUAAGUGUGGGGGAAUUUGAUAGAAGCAUAUUUAUGCGACUUAGCUAGCUUGUUUUCGUGCAUUUUUGUUGUUAUUCCUUAGUUAUUUUAGUGUUUAAAGUCAUUUUCGUGCAAUUUCAGGUUCUAAGGACAAAGUAUUCAAAAAGGUGCAUUUUGGAGCCUUUUGGAGCAGUCUUGGGCAUGAAUUGAAUAGUUUAUGCUUGGAGCAAUGUAGAUGGACGAAUUGAAGACCAAAGUAUGCUAGGAAUCAGCUAAAGAGAGGAAGAAAUAUUAAUUCAAGUCAAGGAAGGAAAAGGAAUCCAAGAAGAAGAAGGAUUGACAAGUCAAAGUUUCCUAAUCCUAAUUUACAAAGGUUUCAGCCAUAAUUAAGUUUCCUAGUCAAUUUGGGACACUUAAAUCUUAGUCCAAGGGGGAGCCGCACCUUACUCUUCAUUCCUCUUUCCUUGCCGCACAAGGUUGUUGAUUUCCUUUCAAUUUAAGACACAAUUGCAAGGAAGUAAUCUACUUACCAUUUUUCCUUCCGUUGCCACACCUCCCUUACCUUUUCCUUAGGAUUCUGACUUUAAUUCCUAUUUCCCUUUAAGUUUUGGUUUAAUUUUUGUUACCUAAAUUAUUUCCUAGCCUUAAAUACCCUAAGGUCUUUAAAUAAACACCCUAGCCGCAUUCUCUAGGAUUCAUUCACCAUUCUACAUAUCCAUUCACUCCUAUACACAAUUCCAGCUAUUCUCCUUUCAUUGCCACAACCCCAUUCAACCUUAUCACAUCUCUGACCCCUUCAUUCAGCCAUAAACAUCCAUAGUCACUUGUGCCGUAGCAAGGUGGGGAAGAAGAAGGGCUUUGACGUUUCAAGCUUGAAGAUUGGAGCGUUUUAGGUGUACUUCGUUCUUGUUUUCAAUGUCUACUUUAUUAUUCUCUAAUUUUGCUGUAACUAUGAGCGGCUAAACGCCUACUUAGCUAGAGGGAAGGUCAAAGCCAUGAACAUCCUUGAGAUAUGAAUUGAUUUCUUCCAAUUAUGAUGAUAAGUUGUGAAUGCAAUUCAAUUAACUGUUUUCUUCAAAACAGAUUCUUGUAUGUUGAUUAAGGAUGCAUACUUAUUUUUCAUGCAUGAAUUUGAUGCUAGAAUAUAAAUGAGUGUCACCAAAUUGUUACAACUUUAUAUUCAUGAGUAGUGAAGGUUGCUAGUCACAAUUGUGUUAAUUGAAUUCUUGGCAAACAUAUCAUGCAUUCAUAGUUACAAAUGUCUCGUGAACACUUAUGAUUUUCAUGGAACGUAAUGAUCUCUGAUUGUAUCUCUAUUAUGCAUUCAUGUAGGGGACCUUUGGAGAAUGAUUUGGGUUGUCGCAUGCAUUCAUCCAAUUCAAUAAGUAAAGGAAAAUCUGAGGGUUAAUUAGUGCAUCACGGUUAAUCUGGAUUGUUGAGUUUCAUAAUUUAUUGAAAAGCAAUUGGAAAUCGAUUCAUGUACAAGUGUGUCAUGUGUGAAGAAUGGACCUCUAGCUAAUCCAUCAACCAUCUUAUUUCCCAAAAUUCGUUUUACAAUCUGUUUAGUUUUACAAUUUGUUUGUUUCAAAUUCGUCAAAACCAAAACCCUCUUUUACUUUCUUGUUUCAAACUGUUUAAAAUCUUUUUUUUAUAUAUAUGUUUUUGAGUCAGUUUGGAGGUUAUUAGCAAGCCCUCCUAAUCCCCAUUCCAGAACGAUCCCUACAUGCAUCUUUACUACAAUUUGACAACAAGAGGGUUUAAUUUGAGUGUUGGAUUAUCUCACAUCAGUUGUGGGGCACGUGGUUUGCCCUGUGCUGCUCAUCAUGGCUCUUGGUAGGGGCUGCCAAUGGAACUUGAGCUGGACUGCUCAUGUGCUCUUCUUUAGGCGUUAUGCAGCUACCUACUCUAUUGCCUCGUAGGAGGAUCUCCUUGUGUGCCUAGCCUCGUAUGGACUAUUCGCGUGGAAUGUCCUGAGCACUCAUCAGAGUGUGGACCCAACCUCGAGUGCACACUGACCCGUGAGUCGAGUCUGGAAUGAACACUUCUCUAUGCAUUUAGGCAGCAGAAGACAUUUCCCCUAGAGUCCAAACGAGAGUGCACACUACCCGAACACACUGUUUGUGGUGGGUUGAGUAGCUUUUUGUUGUGAUGUCGCUAGAAUGAGUCACGUUCUUCUGCCCUUAUCUUGCUUCGGGACACCUCAUUUGGGGCACAUUGCAUCUUGAUGCGCUCGAGGAGUUGGUUCAACAAGGUAGUCUACUACGCGAGGGGGUUCGUCAAAUUAGUGACCUGCUAGGGCAGAUGGUGCUUGCCAUUUGGAUUGAAAGAGUUUGGAUGAUGGGCAUCUCCAUGCGUGGUGAAAGUAUAGUAAACUGGAGGUACAAAACUUGAGCUCAAAGCGGGCAUUCCUGCAGAAAAGUAAGGUGUAAGUAACCCAGAAUUGACCGUGGUACCUGUGGUCAGAAUCUAGAUUGCUGGAGGUGGCCUUGGAAUAGAUUGGGCUGCGGGUUGGGUCAUGGGGUGCGUUAGACCAGUGUGUGCUCAUCUUGGGCUUGCAUGGUCGUUGGGCUGCCACAUGUUGGCCUACUAGCUAGAUGGCUUAGGCCUAGGCCCAUUGAGUUGUUUAGCUGGUAGUAGCUACUG
This 4830-nucleotide long non-coding RNA is filed under the name Malus domestica (apple). Its description in RNAcentral is "long non-coding RNA (MDOM_LNC015445)". The record is from RNAcentral. Lineage: Eukaryota; Viridiplantae; Streptophyta; Magnoliopsida; Rosales; Rosaceae.